UGAUGAUACGGACAGCAAUUACAGGAGCAGUUACACUUCACUGUGUGUGUGUUAUGUGCCAGGCACUGUGCUUACACAAGCAGUUUCCUGGCGGUGAUGACAGCUGACUUUCUUGAGUGUGUUGGAGGACCAUGCAUUACAGCUUUACGUGGCGUGUCUUCAUAAAAUCCAAGCCGCCAUGGUAUGAGGAAGCCCAAACGGCAACGGAGAAGUCAAGUAUAGACGAUUCAGUCUCAGCUCUCGCUGAAGCCCUCGAGAACAGACAGCCUUUGAGAUGCCUCCAGCUCCAGCUCUGACACAGCCUCAUGAGACACUCCAAGUACACACUACCUCCUGAGCCCAGUCAACAGUAAAUGAUUGCUAUUAUACCACAAUAAAUAAUUGGAACAUGACAAUAUAUUUCCCAAAGUUCUGCCUGUGGGUCACUCUUAGCUACCACGAGCUUUACUUUUUAUUUCUUAGAAACCGUGAGUUUAGCACUUAUUCUCACGAGACACAAUGAUUAAUUUUAUUAGAUAUUUAUUGAACAUUUUUAUGAUUCACAGUAAUCCUCUUCAUUCAUUUUUUAAAAUAGAGCUGUAAUAAGGACUGGAUACAUGACUCACUUCGUAUUUCUCCUGAGGGAAAAGCAGCUAGGUAGGCUUUCCUUGAAAUAAACCUGAGAAGUAUCCUUUAGCUCCCUGAGCUAUCAAAAAUGGGAAAACUUUAGAGUGAAUUGACACCCUUGAAGUCCUCUUUGAAGCAGGACUCCAGCCAACAGGAAAGCAGAACUGUGAUCCCCAGGCAGCCUCAGCACAUCAGGCUGUGAAAUAAUAAGGCAGAGGUCUUCUGUGAACCGUCACCAACUGCCAAGGGUUCUCUAGGAGCUGGCUUUGUUGUCAGCUCUUGGACAUGUAAAACUCUCAACCCUGAAAAGCUACCAAAAAAUGCAUAUCUGUAUAAACAUUAGUAUGGGUACACACCCACACACACACACACACACACACACACAAACACACAGGGACCCACUAUCUUAGCUAUUGUGUGGAUUGAACAAAUUUCUUAAUCUCUCUGGGUCUCAGGAUUUUGUGUCUAAAAUGAAGUUAAUAUUUUCCUCACUGGAUUUUUGAAAAGUAAAUGAGCUUAUGCGAC
Molecule: long non-coding RNA, 1131 nt
Filed under: Sus scrofa (pig)
Lineage: Eukaryota; Metazoa; Chordata; Mammalia; Artiodactyla; Suidae
Description: lncRNA (ENSSSCG00030022852.1)
Source: RNAcentral